UAGGGAAUCUUCCACAAUGGACGCAAGUCUGAUGGAGCAACGCCGCGUGAGUGAAGAAGGUUUUCGGACCGUAAAGCUCUGUUGUUGGUGGAGAAGGAUAGAGGUAGUAACUGGCCUUUAUUUGACGGUAAUCAACCAGAAAGUCACGGCUAACUACGUGCCAGCAGCCGCGGUAAUCGUAGGUGGCAAGCGUUGUCCGGAUUUAUUGGGCGUAAAGCGAGCGCAGGCGGAAGAAUAAGUCUGAUGUGAAAGCCCUCGGCUUAACCGAGGAAUUGCAUCGGAAACUGUUUUCUUGAGUGCAGAAGAGGAGAGUAGAACUCCAUGUGUAGCGGUGGAAUGCGUAGAUAUAUGGAAGAAUACCAGUGGCGAAGGCGGCUCUCUGGUCUGCAACUGACGCUGAGGCUCGAAAGCAUGGGUAGCGAACAGGAUUAGAUACCCUGGUAGUCCAUGCCGUAAACGAUGAGUGCUAAGUGUUGGGAGGCCUCCGCUUCUCAGUGCUGCAGCUAACGCAUUAAGCACUCCGCCUGGGGGAGUACGACCGCAAGGUUGAAAC
RNAcentral lists this ribosomal RNA (553 nucleotides) under uncultured bacterium. RNAcentral describes it as "partial 16S ribosomal RNA". It matches the Rfam family "Bacterial small subunit ribosomal RNA", at positions 355 to 900 of the family's 1533-position model. The record is from RNAcentral.